CUGGGAGAUGACGCGAAUGCCGCGCUGAAGGGAGUCGUGGAGUGUAGCCAUGGCGUGCGGCGGCCGAAGGCCGGAGCACCGCGGGCCCCCUGAACUGUUUUACAACGAGGACGAAGCCCGGAAGUACACUCACAACUCACGCAUGAUUGAGAUCCAGACCCAGAUGUCCGAGCGGGCAGUGGAGCUGCUGAGUCUGCCCGAGGACCAGCCCUGCUUCCUGUUGGACGUUGGCUGUGGCUCGGGGCUCAGCGGCGACUUCAUCUCGGAGCAGGGGCACUACUGGGUGGGCAUUGACAUCAGCUCCGCCAUGCUGGACGUGGCUGUGGAUCGAGAAGUGGAGGGAGACCUGCUGAAGGGGGACAUGGGGCAGGGCAUUCCCUUCCGGCCAGGCUCAUUCGAUGGCUGCAUUAGCAUCUCCGCUGUGCAGUGGCUCUGCAACGCCGACCAGAGAACACACAACCCCGCCAAGCGCCUGCACCGCUUCUUUUCGUCCCUUUAUUCUGUGCUGGCCCGAGGAGCUCGAGCGGUCUUGCAGCUGUAUCCGGAGAAUGCCGAGCAGCUGGAGCUGAUCACAACCCAGGCGAUGAAGGCCGGCUUCACUGGAGGAAUGGUGGUGGACUUCCCCAACAGCACGAAAGCUAAGAAGUUCUUCCUCUGUCUGUUUGUUGGGCCUUCGGGUGUGCUGCCCACGGGCCUGGGCACUGAGUGUGGAGAUGAACAAGAGAGGAAAGAGACCAAGUUCUCCAAGGAAAGGUUGUCAGAACAGAGCCCUGUCAUGUUACAGGUGGUGAAACUGAGGCCCAAGGAGGGUGGGGCGUGCUCAGGUGACAGGUCUGGGGCAGUUCAGACCGAGCCUGGCCUCUUGGCUCCUAUUCAGGAUGCGGUAUAAGACGGCGAAGGGGAAGUCGCUGAAGAAGAGCCGGGACUGGAUACUGGAGAAGAAGGAGCGGCGGCGGCGGCAGGGCAAGGAGGUGCGAGCUGACACACGUUACACGGGCCGCAAGCGGAGGCCCCACUUCUGAGCAGCUGCUCUCGUCCUCUGGACCCGGCCCCGAGCUCGGCCCCGUUGCCCUUUGGGACGCUCGUCUGCUGCUUGUCUGCCACGGUCCGGCGGCUGUGGCCCCCAGGAGCCCCCCAUUGGUUCCCCAAGGCUUGUGGCUCUCCAUUUGUGCCUUAACUUUGCUGACCCAGGAGAUGGUGACUGGCUCUACCUUCUGUCAAGGGGCGCGUGGGGCUGGAGGCCUGGGACAGGCCGGCUCCUGGUCCGAGGCUUGUGUUUGCAAGAGCCUGCCCCGCCCUGAAAUGGCAUCCUGGGCACGGGGUGGGGGGCUUGGGGAGAGCAAGGUUCCUGCAAGAAAAGACUCAGAUCGUUUCAUCUUAUUUUUGAAUAAAAUACAGCUUUGCAAAAGUGA
This is an RNA transcript of Antechinus flavipes (yellow-footed antechinus), 1412 nucleotides long. It is a transcript of the gene named BUD23 rRNA methyltransferase and ribosome maturation factor, with no coding region annotated. The record is from RefSeq and is a predicted model, not a curated record. NCBI's taxonomy places the organism in Eukaryota, Metazoa, Chordata, Mammalia, Dasyuromorphia, Dasyuridae. The transcript is spliced from 13 exons.